RNAcentral lists this ribosomal RNA (407 nucleotides) under bacterium enrichment culture clone ALO1_GLFRUDD03G55KM. RNAcentral's name for it is "bacterial SSU rRNA". It matches the Rfam family "Bacterial small subunit ribosomal RNA", at positions 9 to 417 of the family's 1533-position model. The record is from RNAcentral.
GAGUUUGAUCCUGGCUCAGAUUGAACGCUGGCGGCAUGCCUUACACAUGCAAGUCGAACGGCAGCACGGGAGCUUGCUCCUGGUGGCGAGUGGCGAACGGGUGAGUAAUGCAUCGGAACGUAUCCUGGAGUGGGGGAUAACGUAGCGAAAGUUACGCUAAUACCGCAUAUUCUGUGAGCAGGAAAGCGGGGGACCUUCGGGCCUCGCGCUCUUGGAGCGGCCGAUGUCGGAUUAGCUAGUUGGUGAGGUAAAGGCUCACCAAGGCGACGAUCCGUAGCAGGUCUGAGAGGAUGAUCUGCCACACUGGAACUGAGACACGGUCCAGACUCCUACGGGAGCAGCAGUGGGGAAUUUUGGACAAUGGGGGCAACCCUGAUCCAGCCAUGCCGCGUGAGUGAAGAAGGCCU